CCGGCACGGGUGAGUAACGCGUAUCCAACCUGCCUUACACUCUUGGACAGCCUUCUGAAAGGGAGAUUAAUACAAGAUGGCAUCAUGAGUCCGCAUGUUCACAUGAUUAAAGGUGUUCCGGUAGACGAUGGGGAUGCGUUCCAUUAGAUAGUAGGCGGGGUAACGGCCCACCUAGUCUUCGAUGGAUAGGGGUUCUGAGAGGAAGGUCCCCCACAUUGGAACUGAGACACGGUCCAA
RNAcentral lists this ribosomal RNA (237 nucleotides) under uncultured bacterium. RNAcentral's name for it is "partial 16S ribosomal RNA". It matches the Rfam family "Bacterial small subunit ribosomal RNA", at positions 100 to 334 of the family's 1533-position model. The record is from RNAcentral.